UGGCGGUGUCGACUGCAGAUGACAUUCGAUUUUUAGAUUCUACGAAUCGAUUCCACCACUCUGUACGCUUCUCUAAACCACCGUUUCACUCAACUCAAGCGGAAGAAAGACGGGGGAAGUUGGAUAUCGAUGGUCGGACCGUCACUCCUAUACACGGUAUGUAAUUCCAACCCGUCGUCUGGCUAGGGUUUCUUACUUUGAUUCAAAGCUGGGAGUAUCAUCUUUCUUCGUUGUCUCCUUCUUUCACCGACAUAACUACUGUGUGUUAUAUGCUUUGUAUUUUUGAACAUUCAAAACCUUCACGACAAAGAAGACGAAGAAGAAUCGAAAUCAUCUGCUCCAUUAAAUUUCUAGAUUGUCUUACACCACCGGUGCUACCAGAGUAAUCAGCGAAACACACAUAGUUGUAAACUUUGAAGAAUGGCAUCUGGGUUCUCCUUCCUCCAUCUUUGAUUACAAGUGAUGUCCACCCAUCGGUUUUGCUUCUGUUAUACGCUUCAAGGCCUAAACCUAUGUUGCUCACUGUUGCCAUAACCACCAUCUCUUGGUAUUCUAUGAUAUUUGUCAAAAAAUAAAUCAUUGAAGCCCACUUAAGGUAAUUUUAUGGUCAUGUACGAUUGAAUAACAGUGCUGAAGUAGUUAAGUUUAUGUUGAACAUGGCAGGACCUGAAACACUUGACUUGGAAGCAAUGAACAUGUAUGGAGAAACACCAUUGCAUAUGGCUGCUAAAACAGUUGUAAUGAAGCUACAGGGCUUCUUCUUUCUCAUGGAGCUUCUACCGAAGCUAAAGCAAAUUUAUGUACUUUGUUUAUGUCAUUUAUUGAGCAUUACAAUUUUUAUAUAAUCUAAGCUUGAUAAAAAAAAAUUAAUCUUUAUCAUCCAUAUGCAGUUAAACAAAAGCUAAAAUGGAUGAACUUGAAAAUGAAUUAUCCAAUUUAGUGGGGCGUCAUGAGCUUAAAUUACAACUUAGAAAAUGGGCUAAAGGGAUGCUUUUAGAUGAAAGGCAAAGAGCCCUUGGUUUAAAAGUUGGGACCCCUAGACCACCUCAUAUGGCCCUCCUUGGUAAUCCAGGAACAGGAACAGGAACAGGAACAGGUAAAACUAUGGUAGCUCGGAUUCUUGGAAAGCUAUUUUUUAUGGUUGGGAUUUUACCAACGGAUAAGGCGACAGAGGUGCAAAGAACAUAUUUGGUUGGUUACUUUUCUUUGAUAAACUUGGGAUUUAUGUAUAAGGAUACUAUUAAUAAGGAAAAUUCUAACAGUGUAGCCAAAUUAUUGAAAUGUGGUCACUAAUGAAUGAUUAUUACUCUUAAAAAUAAAUAUCAUAUUUUUUGCCUUCCAUAAUAUGUUACCUUUGCAAAAAAAUGACGAAUAUUAUACAAUGUGCAACAAUAUUGGAGGAUACCUGGAAUUGUGAGCCCGAUUAAGAACUUAACUAGGAUCAAGUGGAUCUUUAGGUAAACUUUUUACGUCUCUCCUUUCAGUGAUUCAAGUUUUAUGCAUAAAUUCUUAUAUUUGUUUUUUUUUUAUUUCUAAAUUUUGCUCAAUCUUCUAUUUUUUAAAAAUUAUUUAUUGUAGGUUCUAUCUAUUUCUAUUGAUGACAUAAUUAAACGUUAAUUCUAUUUGGAUGGAAAGUUCUCAGAAACCAUAUCCAGGAGGACGAAAAUUUUGUCAACUUCUUCUUAAUGAAUACUAUGUAAUUCAUAAAUCUGUGAUCAUCGAUGAUAAAAGGGAUAAAUGCAAACAAUUUCAAUGUAUGCUUACAAUUAUAUUCACAAAUACGGGCAUAAAUCCAACUUAAUGGUUUCUUCAGUCUGAAACAAAUAGUAUGUUUACAAUCUUUUUUUAUUAACCUUCAACUAAUUUUCUGAUUUUUGAGAGGAAUGUCAAAUUCGGAGGGUUCAUCUACUGCAACACCCACCUUCUACUAUAAUAUUGGCUUCCAGGGUCUUUUGUCAUUAUCAUUUCCAGUUGAGAAUUGAAACACAUCGGUUGCGAUGACAACAUUGAGGAAUCAUUUGGAUUGAACCGAGAAUUUUCCUUUUGUGAAGAGAAUUUUAGACUUCCAUGUGCUGCUUUUGUUAUCCAGGUAUCUAGACAUGAAUUCAGAUGUGCCAACAUUAGUAGGCUAUAAAUAUAUCAAUAUUUCUUAUUAAUAGAAUGAAAUGUACCUUUUUUUUAUCGAUGCUUAUUAUCUUGGAAUGGAAGGAAUGUUUACAUUGAAAUCUGAUUACUUAAUUUGGGUAGUUCUUAUAUGUUUUGUAACACCCAAAGUUUUGAAGGCCAAGAAAGGAAAGAAAACCCUAAUUUUUAGGGGCGACUCGGCGAGUCCAAGGAGGAACUCGGCGAGUCCGAGCGGGAUCCGGGUCGAGGUGUAAGUGACCGACUUGGCGAGUCGGCCAAGUGGACUCGGCGAGUCUGGUCUGUGCGAGGAAAACCCUAAAUCCGGGACUUUGGGCGCUAUUUAAGCUCCUUAUUCUCUCCAUUAGGGUUCCUUAGAGCCUCCCUCAUUCAGAAAGCGAACCCUAAGCCUCCAUUGUUGUGCAUUCAAGCUUCCAAGCCAUUUUUGGAUGGAUUGAAGGAAGAAGAAAGAGGGGAAUCAGUGAAACUUCAAGGAUUGGCUUCAGAUCUGGAGUUUGUGGAGCCUUUCUGAGAUAUUGAAGGUAAUAAUUCGUUUCUCUCCUUUAGAUCUUCCAUGGUUGAGAGAUUUGGGGCUUUUAAGCCAUGGUUUGUCACCCAUUUGAGUUAGAAGCCGGA
Lactuca sativa (garden lettuce) is the source of this 2757-nucleotide non-coding RNA. The record is from RefSeq and is a predicted model, not a curated record. Lineage: Eukaryota; Viridiplantae; Streptophyta; Magnoliopsida; Asterales; Asteraceae.